AUUAGAGUUUGAUCAUGGCUCAGAAUCAACGCUGGCGGCGUGCCUAACACAUGCAAUCGAACGCGGUUACCCCGCAAGGGGCAACUGAUGGCGAACGGGUGAGUAACACGUGGGUGACCUACCUUCGAGUGGGGGAUAAACGUCCCGAAAGGGACGCUAAUACCGCAUAACAUCCUGCCUUUGAACAGGCGGAGAUCAAAGCUGGGGAUCGCAAGACCUGGCGCUUGAUGAGGGGCCCGCGUCCGAUUAGCUAGUUGGUGGGGUAAUGGCCUACCAAGGCGACGAUCGGUAGCCGGCCUGAGAGGGCGGACGGCCACACUGGGACUGAGACACGGCCCAGACUCCUACGGGAGGCAGCAGUGGGGAAUUGUUCGCAAUGGACGAAAGUCUGACGACGCAACGCCGCGUGGAGGAUGAAGGUCUUCGGAUUGUCUACCUAAUGCCCGGGACGAAAUGCUUCAACCUAACACGUU
This 473-nucleotide ribosomal RNA is filed under the name uncultured bacterium. RNAcentral describes it as "bacterial SSU rRNA". It matches the Rfam family "Bacterial small subunit ribosomal RNA", at positions 1 to 469 of the family's 1533-position model. The record is from RNAcentral.